UGGCAGGUUAAUGGAACAGUCUAAAUUGUCCCUACAUGUGAGUGUGAGCGCGGAUGGUUGUUUGUCAAUGUGUGCCCUGCAAUUGGCUGGCAACCAGUUCAGGGUGUACCCCGCCCACUGCCCGAAGACAGCUGGUAUAGGCUGCAGCAUGCCCCGUGACCCUUGUGAGGAUAAGUGGAUCAGAAAAUGGAUGGACGGAUGGAU
This is a long non-coding RNA of Hippocampus zosterae (dwarf seahorse), 204 nucleotides long. RefSeq lists it as uncharacterized. NCBI's taxonomy places the organism in Eukaryota, Metazoa, Chordata, Actinopteri, Syngnathiformes, Syngnathidae. The record is from RefSeq and is a predicted model, not a curated record. The transcript has 2 exons.